CAGCAGCCGCGGGAAUACGAAGGGGGCUAGCGUUGUUCGGAUUUACUGGGCGUAAAGGGCGCGUAGGCGGACUGAUAAGUCAGGGGUGAAAUCCCAAGGCUCAACCUUGGAUCUGCCUUUGAUACUGUUUGUCUUGAGUUCGAGAGAGGUAAGUGGAACUGCGAGUGUAGAGGUGAAAUUCGUAGAUAUUCGCAAGAACACCAGUGGCGAAGGCGGCUUACUGGCUCGAAACUGACGCUGAGGCGCGAAAGCGUGGGGAGCGAACAGGAUUAGAUACCCGCGUAGUCCCUGUCUCUUAUAC
This 301-nucleotide ribosomal RNA is filed under the name uncultured bacterium. RNAcentral's name for it is "partial 16S ribosomal RNA". It matches the Rfam family "Bacterial small subunit ribosomal RNA", at positions 509 to 807 of the family's 1533-position model. The record is from RNAcentral.